CACCUACGGGAGGCAGCAGUAAGGAAUAUUGGUCAAUGGACGAAAGUCUGAACCAGCCAUGCCGCGUGAAGGAUGACGGCCCUCUGGGUUGUAAACUUCUUUUAUCUGGGACGAAAAAAGGUCAUUCUUGAUCACUUGACGGUACCAGAGGAAUAAGCACCGGCUAACUCCGUGCCAGCAGCCGCGGUAAUACGGAGGGUGCAAGCGUUAUCCGGAUUUACUGGGUUUAAAGGGUGCGUAGGUGGGUUUGUAAGUCAGUGGUGAAAUCUUCGAGCUUAACUCGGAAACUGCCAUUGAUACUAUAGAUCUUGAAUCAUCUGGAGGUGAGCGGAAUAUGUCAUGUAGCGGUGAAAUGCUUAGAUAUGACAUAGAACACCGAUUGCGAAGGCAGCUCACUACGGAUGUAUUGACACUGAGGCACGAAAGCGUGGGGAUCAAACAGGAUUAGAUACCCUGGUAGUCCACGCCCUAAACGAUGGAUACUCGACAUUUGCGAUAUACUGUAAGUGUCUGAGCGAAAGCAUUAA
RNAcentral lists this ribosomal RNA (527 nucleotides) under uncultured bacterium. RNAcentral's name for it is "bacterial SSU rRNA". It matches the Rfam family "Bacterial small subunit ribosomal RNA", at positions 335 to 863 of the family's 1533-position model. The record is from RNAcentral.